UCGGAAGCUAAAGAAUAAGAUGAGAACCGGUCAAAUCUGGAAAGAAAAUGCCACCAGGUACUAAGAAAUUUUCAUCAAAACAGCUGAAUUAAAGGCAUCUCAUUUUACGGACUUGGGCUAAGGAUGUUCAAUCCCCUGGCUUUCUCCACACAGAUGCACUUGCUAUUAUGAUAGUGGACUUGAGCCUGAUUGUAACUACAAAGAAAAACAUGAAGAGGCUCAUCUGCAUGCUUUUCAUCGGUUGACAAUGUAACAAAUGCAAAGAAUGCAGAGGAUGCGACUGUUGGAAGAACAAAAACUAAACUUACGACGACAUCUCCACUCUAUACAAUGGAGGUCAAAAGGAAAAUGGGGUUUGAUCCAUGGGACUGUGUACUGGGGAGCCUUCCACAAGACUGUUAAACUCCCUUGAAGACAGGGAUCAUGUCUACCAAAACCCCAAAGUACCAAGCUCUCCCACAUGCUUAGUUCAGUUUUUUACCCACAUUAAGCACUCAAUAAAUACUAGAUUGCUUCACGUGUGUAUUUAUAUGUAGAUAUGUAGAUAAAAAUCAAUCAGUGGUGUUUAUUGAGCAUUUACUCAGCUCUAUAUAAAGAGUUGGUCCCCUGCCUGCAAUAUCUAUGUAUAUAUGAAAAUAUAUAUAUUAUUAAAAAAGCAGU
Molecule: long non-coding RNA, 660 nt
Organism: Ornithorhynchus anatinus (platypus)
Lineage: Eukaryota; Metazoa; Chordata; Mammalia; Monotremata; Ornithorhynchidae
Exons: 3
Source: RefSeq, a predicted model, not a curated record